This 185-nucleotide ribosomal RNA is filed under the name Symbiodinium sp. clade A. RNAcentral describes it as "partial Bacterial large subunit ribosomal RNA". It matches the Rfam family "Bacterial large subunit ribosomal RNA", at positions 508 to 695 of the family's 2925-position model. Lineage: Eukaryota; Dinophyceae; Suessiales; Symbiodiniaceae. The record is from RNAcentral.
GGAAAGGUGAAAAGUACCCUGAGUAAGGGGGUGAAAUAGAACCUGAAACCGUGCGCUUACAAGCGGUGGGAGCCCUUCGGGGUGACCGCGUGCUUUUUGCAUAAUGAGCUCGGGAGUUAGCCUCUGUGGCGAGCCUAAGGCCUAUCGGGCCGGAGGCGGAGCGAAAGCGAGUCUGAAUAGGGCCC